AUUCACAUUUUGGCAAGGCUUCUAAGUGACAAUGCCAUGAAGCCUGGACUUUGGCCAUGAAUUUCUUUUCUUGGCACAUGGGCCUGGGAGGUGAGAACAUAACAAGGUACUUCAUGGAUAUUCUUAACUCUUCUCACAUCUAUGCAACUGGAGGGACAUCAUACAACGAGAUGUGGACGGACUCAAACCAAUUCACAACCACUCUGACUAUUGAAAAUGAAGAAUCAUGUUCAAAUUAUAAUAUGCUAAAGGUCUGCUGAUCAUCAACUGGAGAUGACUGCAAAUGGGGAUGGAUUGAACCUCAGAUCGUAUUUUCGAAGCUAUCUGUGAAGUCGAAAACUUUCUGCUUUGACGGCAUAAUCUGUGGAGUAGAAUACUGUAGUUCCUAAAUAUUCCUCUUUUUCUAAUUGAGAUGCAUUCCUGAAGGACCAACCAUGGAAAUAAAUGUUAAUUCUCCCCCUUUAGGUGGAACAAACAGUGUUCUUGCUGAAGAAUGGCUAUUCUUGCCGUAUAUUUGUGUCAGUGAGGUACUUCAUAAAUAUUCUUAACUCUUCUCGCACCUAUGCAACUGGAGGGACAUCACACAACGAGAUGUAAUGAUUGUCACAAUUAUGUUUUUGUUAUGAAAAUAUCAUGGUAUGAUUCACUUGUAACCAGGUGUAUAAUGUCAAUAUAUAUAAAUGU
Molecule: long non-coding RNA, 684 nt
Organism: Cornus florida
Lineage: Eukaryota; Viridiplantae; Streptophyta; Magnoliopsida; Cornales; Cornaceae
Exons: 4
Source: RefSeq, a predicted model, not a curated record